UCUAGUCAACUACACUCCAUGCCUUUGUCUCAUUCUAUUCGUGAUUUGCUUUGCUGUGUUGGGUGUUAUCGUUUGCAUGUCAACCUCGUUUCUGUUUCGAAAUUAAGUUUAUCUUUAUACAUUUUAAUGAGUGUCUCGUAAAUUUGAUAGUAUUCUGCUUUGUUUUUCUAGCGCCAUUGUUUUGAACCGAAAAAGUGUCUGAUUACUGGAGAUGCUGCCCUCGAGACAAGCCUUUGAUUCCAAUGCUGGAACAACAUCUACCCUCGAGGGUUGUUAUUGUCGAAAUAUGUCGUGGGACUCCAGCUCAUCAGGGAGCCAUAUUGACAAAUACAUUUCGUGCACAACCAAGAGUUUCUGCAAUCCUGCACACUAGACUGUUUGCGAAUUUUUGGAUGGUCUGCACUUUAUGGGGGUCAUUUAUUUUCAGCUUGGCCUUCCAUAAAGUCGUCAGGCGCUGCUGAUUUCAUCGAAACCAUCCAACAUGAGAACGACACGGCCUGCAACUUUUAAACGAUGUUUCAACAUUGAUCUGGCAAAUGAACUAGUUCCGGUAAUGCAAGGUAAUUGGAGUAAGAAUUUGAUAGCUUUCUUUCGAUCGAAUGAAGUUGUGCCCGAAAUAGCUUUGGUAUGCCUCACUAAGUCAAUUUUGAUAACCCAGUGAUCUGGGCUGUUGCAUUUGAUGACGUUGAAAUAAUGAAACAGUAUGGUGGACUUGCCCGUUCCGGCUACACUAGAAAUAAUCAUGAUCUGGCUUUUCCAAUCUUUAUCAACAAAAUGAUUCUCCUGUCGAAUCACGGUUGAAGCCAAUGUCCUAUUUUCCUUCAAAAUUUCUUUCAUUUUAUUCCAGAUAUUUAGUCGUUCGUUGUCACUGACAAACCACUCGAUACUGCCCAAAAGUGCUGGAUCAAUCCUGCACUCUUGCGUAAGCUGCUCCAAAGACUUUCCCAAUUUUUGAGCUAAUUGAUUAUGAAAAUUUUCGUGGUAUGAAGAAAAUUCCAGUUGUCUCUCGAUGUAGGGAAAUUCCGGGGAAAGAGGUGUUAAUUCUGGGGAAAGAGGUGUUAUGGGUGCUGGGAUUUUCACGAUUGUCCCACUCCUCAGUUCUUGAAAGCUCGUCAAGUUGAUGAUGGCAUUAAGUUCGGAACUUUUGUCCAAAAGAGUCUCUACUUUCAUCUGAGACCCUUGAAACUGUACGCAUUUUGAUUGCAAUUUCUCCUUUGUUUUUCUGUUUAAAUCGCGAAAACAAAACUUAUCUUGCAUACUAGCUUUACCAAUGUUAGUUUCAACGAUAAUGAUUCUUUUCGAUUUACGAUUUUCAGGAAUCAAUUCCUGCCAUUUUUGCUCGGUAUCAUUAUCAUUGCAAACAACAACUAGUAAAUAAUGCAAUCUCUUAGCUCUCAAAAUAUUUCUCAUUCGAACUAUUUCCCUUUCUUCACGCAAAUUUUUGCUUUGCACAAUCAAAUAGCUGUCAUCUUUCUUGAAAUCACUUAAUUGCUUCAGCGACUGGACGAUUUUUAUGGCGGUGCAUUUCGGCGAGUCGGUUGCAAUGCGCAGCACUUUCUUCUGUAGGGUUGGGAGAUAGAGAAAAGGUUUAAGUUUUUCGGUCAUGUUGUCGAUUGCAUCUUGGUUGAAUUUCAUGUAUUUGCAGAGCCGGUUACGGUAAUCGAUGGAAGCACCGGUUGCGCGCAGCGACUUCAUCAUUUCUUUUGUUUGCUUUAGAAGUAAUUUAGCUUUUGCACUCGAUAGUGUAGUUGCAGAUUUCUCUUUAAACCAAUUCAGCAGUUUUAUUAAGAGCUCAUUUGACACAGCUCGACUAUCCAGUACAUUAAAAUCUAUUCCCAUUUCAGUUCGUAUAAUGCAAUCCAAUUGUUUUUCGUUAGGUAAAUUGACGGCAAAAACAAGUUUGUCGAGAAAAUUUUCAAUUUCUUCCUUAUUCACAGGGUCACUGGUUAGUUCACUUUGUUCAUUUUGCCUUUUGCCAAAAUUUUUACUCAAUUCAAAUUUCAUUGUGUUCCAGUCACUGCCUCCUUGGCAAUCGCUAAGUAUUUUACGGAAUUUUUUUGCGUUCGGUGAAAGGUCUUUCACAUUGUCGAUGAAAUUUUGAUGGAAUGUUUUCGAACUGAGGUCUAAUACUUUUUCUUCAACUAAAACAAAGUGAUAUCUUUUAAACAUAUCACAUCUGAGUUCGAGUUUUUGCUUUUUGUUGCCAUAUUUCAAUAGUUCGUGGGCUAAACAAUGCAUGUCUGAGGUUUCUUCUAGUUUUUCGUACAAAUUGGUCGUCCCUUGCAUGAUUUGUAACUUAUAGCGUACCGGUAUUGUGCUGCCAGACUUUUGCUUGGAAUUAAAAGCUAGAAUCGGAUCUCGAUUUUUUAAACUUACUAAUUCGAUCCCGUUCAGCAUGAGAUCAUUCUCAUCAAAGCCGAUAUUAGUUCCAAUGAUGCAAUCGUUGAGUUCUUCAUUGUCUUCGAGCGUUUUGAAAAUUUCACGAUAAGAGCGGAAAUAUUUUUUAAGACUAAAGUCACCAUCACUUUCGUUCAACAGAUCACUUGCCUUGAUCUUCGUGGAAUCGUCAAAUUUGUGCUUUGCCUGCAAGUACCGUGUUAUUCUUUUGCUUUCACGAUUUUUGUACGUAAAGAUGAGGUCAUCGAAUUUACCCCCUUUACCAGGCAUCUCAGUAUCUAGCUUGAAAUUAUAGCCCAUUCUAAGUCCUCGGGUGAGGAACAGCAUUAGCAGCCUCAGUUGAAAUACGUCGCCGUGUAAUGUAUUCCUUAGCCCAGACGAGGCCAAGCUCUUGCCUAAUAUUUUAUCUGCCUGGGCGCGUUUACUUGCAGGAGGCACCAUUUUGAUAUAACACUGAUAACACGGAAAAGUGUUGUCAGUACUGAACGUAUAAAAGUUGCCAGGAAAGUCACACAGAGUUUUCUAAACAACGCUGAACAGCUAUCACUGUUAUAUUAGUAAGCUAGCUUUUUCACUUAAUUUUAAACACGUCCAGCGUUAAACUGAUGUUAACUUUUUGUUAGCCGGAUGUUUGACACAGCUACUGUACCUGUGCGUUCCCAGCUCACUUUGGCGACUCUAUCCUUGCUUCUUAUCAUAUAGUUCCCUUUUUUAAAUGCCAUCAGAUAGUUAUGAUAUCAAGUCAGCUAAUCAUUCUUGAUACUACACAGUAACCAAUAAAAUUAUAGGUUCUUGAGUAGAUAAUCAACAUAGGUCGUUGUAACUAUGGGGCACUUUAGAGCUGCGUCAUGAUGCAUUGCAUACAGGAUAUGUUUUUUUUUCUAAUAUAAAAUUUAACCCCUGUCCACGUAGUCUUCUGCACCCAAAAAUACUAAAAUUAAUUUUCACGUUUAUUCCUUUAAAGUUCUUAUUGAUAAUAAUAAUUAAAAAAAAAGGAAACUUCAGUUAAGUUUAUUAUACUAUGAAAGGAAGCAAACGGAAAAUAAAAAUU
Molecule: long non-coding RNA, 3448 nt
Organism: Daphnia magna
Lineage: Eukaryota; Metazoa; Arthropoda; Branchiopoda; Diplostraca; Daphniidae
Exons: 4
Source: RefSeq, a predicted model, not a curated record